UGGGGAAUUUUUCGCAAUGGGCGCAAGCCUGACGAAGCAACGCCGCGUGGAGGAUGAAGGUCUUCGGAUUGUAAACUCCUGUCGACCGGGACGAAUGCACCCGACCUAAUACGUCGAAGUGUUGACGGUACCGGUGGAGGAAGCCACGGCUAACUCUGUGCCAGCAGCCGCGGUAAUACAGAGGUGGCAAGCGUUGUUCGGAAUUACUGGGCGUAAAGGGCGCGUAGGCGGCCUGAUAAGUCUCGUGUGAAAGCCCUCGGCUUAACUGAGGAUCUGCACGGGAUACUGUUGGGCUUGAGUUCGGGAGAGGAAAGCGGAAUUCCGGGUGUAGCGGUGAAAUGCGUAGAUAUCCGGAGGAACACCAGUGGCGAAGGCGGCUUUCUGGACCGACACUGACGCUGAGGCGCGAAAGCUAGGGGAGCAAACGGGAUUAGAUACCCACGUAGUCCCUGAGCGGGCUGGCAAGGCGCAU
Molecule: ribosomal RNA, 472 nt
Filed under: uncultured bacterium
Lineage: Bacteria
Description: bacterial SSU rRNA
Rfam family: Bacterial small subunit ribosomal RNA
Source: RNAcentral